CCCUUAGAUGUUCUGGGCAGCACGCGCGCUACAAUGGUCUUCGCAAACGGAUGCAUUCUCGAAGGAGAAUGCCAAUCUUGGAAUCUAUGCCUUGGUCGGUACAGUUGCUUGCAAUUUUUCGACUCGAACCAGGAAUUCCUUGUAAUCGUGAUUCAUCACAUCACGAUGAAUACGUCCCUGCCCUUUGUACACACCGCCCGUCGCUCCUACCGAUCGAAGAGUUAGGUGAAUUGUUUUGAUCGAUAAGAUUUGACUAUGGUCAACUCUCGUUGGGAAAUUCUGUGAAUCUGACUGUUUAGAGGAAGGAAAAGUCGUAACA
RNAcentral lists this ribosomal RNA (319 nucleotides) under uncultured eukaryote. Its description in RNAcentral is "partial 18S ribosomal RNA". It matches the Rfam family "Eukaryotic small subunit ribosomal RNA", at positions 1470 to 1796 of the family's 1831-position model. The record is from RNAcentral.